GACGAACGCUGGCGGCGUGCUUAACACAUGCAAGUCGAACGGAAAGGCCCUGCUUUUGUGGGGUGCUCGAGUGGCGAACGGGUGAGUAACACGUGAGUAACCUGCCCUUGACUUUGGGAUAACUUCAGGAAACUGGGGCUAAUACCGGAUAGGAGCUCCUGCUGCAUGGUGGGGGUUGGAAAGUUUCGGCGGUUGGGGAUGGACUCGCGGCUUAUCAGCUUGUUGGUGGGGUAGUGGCUUACCAAGGCUUUGACGGGUAGCCGGCCUGAGAGGGUGACCGGCCACAUUGGGACGGAGAUACGGCCCAGCCUCCUACGGGAGGCAGCAGUGGGGAAUAUUGCACAAUGGGCGGAAGCCGGAUGCAGCAACGCCGCGGGCGGGAUGACGGCCUUCGGGUUGUAAACCGCUUUCGCCUGUGACGAAGCGUGAGUGACGGUAAUGGGUAAAGAAGCACCGGCUAACUACGUG
This 468-nucleotide ribosomal RNA is filed under the name uncultured bacterium. Its description in RNAcentral is "partial 16S ribosomal RNA". It matches the Rfam family "Bacterial small subunit ribosomal RNA", at positions 28 to 507 of the family's 1533-position model. The record is from RNAcentral.